UAUAACAAAUGAAAAAACAACAAAUAUUUCUUGAUAAAUAUUAUUGUAUAUAAUUAUUAGUCAUUAUAAUAUAAUUAUAAAAAAUUACUUUAAUAAUUCUAAAGUGAUCUAAAGUGGCUUACAGCACCAUUACAACAUGGACAGAUCUUUGGGUUAUAAUGUUACAUAUUAUUAGGGUCAUAUUUAAUACAAAGGUCAAUAGAAGAGUCAAUAUAGGUCAUAUAUGCAUGGCCAAUUGAAGAUAUACUCAGAUCAAAUAGAUUUAUCUGCUAAAAAGUUUCUGAUUCAAGCUCUGUCUGGGUGGGUGGACUAGGGUCAAUACAGGGCCUGUAGGAAGUGACUUCAUCAGUGAAAAGAUGUCAGCUUGUUUUCCUUUUUUCUUUUCCUGUUGUGUUCUGAUAGGAACUUCCUCUCCAAUGGGGGUGGAAGUAGGUGUCACUCUCCAAUCCACCCACACCACAAGGGGAAAUGUCCAUCACACGCCCGACCAGCUUGACGAUACAGUCAACACCAGGAUUGGUAGGAGCAAGUGUCCUGCUGGCAAAGCCCCCAAGCCACAGGAAACCUCAUCGGUUGCAGUGUCUAACGAGGAUGUGAGCUGCGGUGAUGGCAUAUUAACGCUCAGGCCCCGAUGGACAGCAAAAAUAAAAAGACAACAUGGCGAUGAUUCAAUACGAAUUGUUUCAGGUGAAACAAUGGUCUCUGCGACUGGCCGUUCAAAGAGUGUGGGAGAGAUGGGCGGAGAAGUGGCGUGAGGCCUUACCUGUCCAGAGAGGUGGACACCAGUGUCAGGACAUUGCAGGUCUUCAUUCAGGUUGUCAUGGACACAGAGGAGGGACAGAUGCCCUGAAAAGUCACAUGACAGUCACAAUUAAUCAAUGACCCAGAAAGGCAGCAAACAAAAAAUUUGCAAGAUGUUACAAAUAAACACCCUUUGCAAAUUAUAAAAUGCUUAUCAAACUGGAUGUAACUCUUCUGUUUGACUGUCUUGCCAAAAAAGCAAAACAAUCCAUCGUGCACUCUAAUAUUUCACUGCACAUCAAUAUAGUACAAGCUAUAUUUUUAAAACCUUUAUCAAACACCUCAGAAAAAAAGACACACAACACCUAUAUGGCAUAAAUUCCUCAAAUUUAUGGCCGACUUGUGUUUAGAUGCUAUGAUAGUACUGUAGGGAUGAGCACAAUCUUUGCCUCCCAUCCCAGAGGGCUCAGUUACCAAUUGCUGGGGUCUUUGUGUGCCCAUAAAUCUGGGGGCACUUCAUAAUACGCAUUGAGUCAUCAGGCCUGUGAGCAGCAUGUCCUGAAUACAUACCAGGCUUUGUGCAUCAGGCGGUUUCCAGUGCUACUGUUUCAUUCAAGAGUCACUUACUAUUGAAGUGAGAAGUCAGAUAAGCACUAUAUAAGCUUUUCCUUCACAAUAAACAAUCACUGACUUCCACAUACAAAGAACAGUCAAUUUGUGUAAGUGGAGCAGACGUGUGAGAGCUCGGCUUCACUUUAUGUCAAUUCUCCAUUUUACAAUACAAGUAGUAAUAGAUCUCUUUGUAUGUGUGAACUUCUACGGUUUUAUCAGAUUUGGUUAAGUAAACCCAAUUUUGUCCCCAAAGAAUAGUCCCCUUUAACACACAGAACUGUCAUGGUCGGAAAGUGCUUUACGUCAGGAUUAAUCUCCAGCAAAGAAGGGUGGGUCAGGGCAGCCAGAACUCAUUUGGUGUGUUGCUAUGAAAUGGCUGCCCAUCAGAAAUAUCUUCAUCUAUCUCUGUCUCAUCUACAUGGGUGGAAAUGGAGGGAUGAAGGGCUGUAAGGAGAGAGGGCGGGUGAAAGGGGCGCCUGGAGGAGAGAGGUCAGUGCAUUCAAGGAGUCCAUCAUUCUGAUGUGUCAAGCGUCUCUUAACUGAGUUUGUGGAAGUGUUCGUGUGUUCAGAAAUACGAAGCUUAGCUUCUCCAGGCUGUUAUGAAAUUUUAAGUGACUCUUUGACAAAUAAAAUGUGAGAAAACUCUCAUUACACAGUUACAAAUAGCAAAAAAAAAAUUAACUACAUUGAGACAUGAAACGUGCUGUAAAAAUAAACAAAAAGGAGGAUCCUACAAAAAGCGCUAAAUGCAAUGGCAAAAAAAAGAUUGUUUCCAAAUAGGUUUCUAAAACACUCCCCCGUCUGCCAUCGUUCUGGCCUGUUAUUUUCUGAAGACAUGGUUCAUUGGUAGUCUUACAUCAGCACUUUAGAAACUUCAAGGUUUCAACACUGGCCCAAGAUCUCAAAGUAGUCUUGUUAAACAGUACCAGCUGAGGUAAACAGCUAAAGGUACACAGAGUGUAAAACCCAGAGGCGAAUUUAGCUCUGGACCAUCUAUUCAAUUCAUUGCAAUCAGGCUCACACAUAAAUAUAAUAUACAUACAAUUUUACAAUAAAAACAAAAACAAAAAUUGACACACACAGGUACCUGCAUGCAAAUCCUUCCCAGCUAAGACAGGAUGUACCAGUUAUGUGAUUUUUUGAUACUUUACUUUUAUUUCAUGACUUACUAAUUGACAACGUAACUAUGACGUUGCAUACUCGUAGUUUCUUUUGUGCUUUAGUAAAGUGAUAUAAAGCUCACGCCUCCACAUUCGCACGUGCAAUUGAAGAGUGCGCGCUACGAGCACAGUAUGAUGUAUGACAGGUCAGGAAAGUUCGUUUUUGGGUGAGAGACUUUUUAUUUCUUAACAAGUUACAAAAAUAAUGUUAGAAUAAUGCCACUGACAUAGCCUGACAACAGUCAUCUGACCGCAGAUACUGCAACAGAAAAACUCAACUUAAACUUCAUCUGACAGAAGUUUCAACAGCUUUCACACACGUCUUUCAGAUAGGGAUGUGUCACGAUUUUCGAAUAUUCGAUUAGUUGAUUUAAUUAUAGAAUAUCGAAUAGGUUGUGCGAAUAUCGUCUUAAUAAAAUUCCCCAUUUGAUGCGGUGGUGACUUGUAACCAGAUGGUGGCGCACGCUGCCAAUAACGCAACUAAAAGCUAAUCAGCUCAGACAUUGCCUCACACACACACUAGACUUGUGCGGCAUAGAACAGACACAUUACAAUUAAUUUUAACAUAAGUGCCGUCAUUCAGUCUGUUCACAAUAUGUUAUUACGCGUUUAGGCAGCCUAAAAUCAUUGUGGCUUGAGAUAGCCACAACACCGAUAUCAUCACUUGCCCACCGCGGCACCGCCACCCACCGUCGUUUUGAUUUUUUUUUUUUUUUUUUUAUAGUAAUAAAAAUCAUUUAGUUCAGUAAGAGAACAGACACUACAAUUAAAAUAUAAAUGUGUCUACUCAAUUCAGCCCGAGCCGAACGAGAGUCGCAGCACAAAUCAGCAACAGUCAGUCAGAUUUCACUUCGUCUCACUCUUGACUGACAAGACGACAGUGGAAGUUUUGGUUUCAAAUCGAAAUGUAAAAGCGUCCAUUUAAGCGGGUUUGUCAUUGUACUGCUUUGUUUUUGUGUUUUUUAUUAAAAAUAACAAUGAACUCAGCAUUCAAGCAAUCGCCGCUACCGAAUUGGUGCUAAUUUGAAAGUGAAAGUAAGGCUCACGGCCACACGCGCGUUCAUAAUGGUGCGGAGAGCAAGCGUUUUCAGUGUGCUCCGCACCGUUAUGAAUGACCGUGAAAAAAAUAUUGAAAGCGUGAAUGGUCUCUCUCCCUCUCUCUUUCCGUUUAUGUGUAUGUAGCCUAUACAUGCGUGAUUCGUGCAUGCGGGGGAGGGUGCGAUUUUCAAAUAAUAUUCGAAUAAUUCCCAGCGAUUUUCAAAUAAUAUUCGAAUAAUUCCCAGCGAUUUUCGAAUAUUGUUUUUGCUUGAAAUGCCCAUCCCUACUUUCAGAAUAAAAGUCUUGCAUCAGAAAAACAUUUAGUAUUAUGUUUUUUGUUGUUGAUGUUUCUUUGAUUGCACACUCUGCGACCCACUCAGAACAGUCUUGAGACCCACAGUUGAGAAACACUGCACUAGGGCAUGCAUAUAGUGUGACAUAAUUUUAUUAACAUGUUGGUACGCAAGCAGCCAGACAUACCACACAUACUCUGUACGCUCAGCUUGAAUAUGUGCCUUGAAUUUUUUUGCUAAUUAGUUUGUAUACAAGGUGGCAACACUGCCCUGGUCCGUUGUUUCACAGUUAAAAAAGAAACGGAACAACAACAAACCACUGGAGAAGCAACAACAACAGACAGCCACGCCAAAGUGUGCUUGUGUGAGAAAAUUAAGAAAUACAGUAAACUCUAGUUUAAACUAGUACAAAGCCAUUUUUAUCGUUAAAAACUUUUGUAGAGAAAUAGAUCAGACACUGGACAAGGCUGAAAUUUUCCAGUCUGCAUGUGUCGACCUGCUGGGUUCAUGCACACUAUCAAAUGGACUGAACUUUUAAAGUUGUGCAUUUAGCUGUAUGUGUACGCGAAGCAUCCGUGUCAAAAAUUACAUAUAUUUUGGGCUUCAUCUGUGCUAAAAAAAAACUGUGUAUUAAUAAAGCAAACCACCAACAAUAAAUUACAUCAGGGGUGCGGGAAGAUGUUUUUAUUUAAUAUAUUAUUUUUUACUGUGGCUCUUUUGGAAAAAAAUUAUUUACCAAAAUUGAUAAAAAUGGCUCUUUGGUCAAAUAAAAGGUUCCUGACCCCUGCUUUAAAUAAAAGGGUUAUUAAGCUGUUUACACUGUCAUAUAUAAUAAAAGAGCCUAUACAGUGAGAGCUAAUAAAAAAUGAACAGAAAACCUUGCACAACACCAAGACUUGCACUCAUGAGUAGAGUUCUUGUUUUAAAAAAAAAAAAAAAAAAAAAAACAUAAUGCAACAUAUAAAUAACACUUUUUAAACAGCCCACUUAAAAGUGCUAAUUACAAAUAAAUUACUAAAUGCUAAAAAUGAAUAAUUGUAAAUGAUUGUAUUUACAAUCCUGUGAAAACGGGGUGCUGCAGCACCCCAGUACCCCUACUUCCUGUACCCCUAAAUAACAUAUAUAAAAUAAAUACAAAUUAAAUUACAUAUACUGUAUUAAAAUUGACUACAUAUCAGUCCUGUGAGGUCUUAUUGUAUGAGGGACUAAUGAGAAAUGAGUAAUCGAAAAUGUCGAAAAGUUUCUCAGGCUAAUUUCAGUUUCUACAUCUGCAAAUGUCGAUAUAUGUACCUCAACAUAAGCUGACAUGAGGUAUUCAAUAGUUUCAGAAGACCUGGUAAACCUUCAGAGUUGUCAGGAAGUUUUUACUUUCUGGAAAAAUCUGACUGUGUUGUCUUGGCCUGCUCUCUCCAACUUUGAGAGAAGCCAGGCACUGCAGGAUAAUCACAGUUUAAUAGGAGCAAAUAUUGAAAGCAGGAGCUGACCAACCAGAUCCCCUUUCCUAGUGCUCUCUCCCAGUGCGCCUGAGAAAAAUGCUAGCACAUGGGUGCCUAAGAAAUCGAUAAUUCCAUGAUAUAUCAAUUAACGUCAAAAAAUAGUGGAAACCGUCAUAUUGACGUUCCUUCAUUGUUUAAGUUGGAACUGUCCAGUCGAAGUGUUGGAAACGCAGCUCUGUCGAAAAUCUAACAACCUUGUUCAAGCAAAAUAAUUCACGUGUACCUCGCGUGUACCGUUCUACAAUUUCAGCAUGAAAAAUUAGUAGAAUUUCAUUGGCAGGAGACAAAAAAACAUCCAAGACAAAGUCCAGAUGAAUGGAUUGAUGUCUCUUUUUUAAUGUACAUGCUUGUGUUUUUUUUGUACUUGUUCUUAAGAUGAACUUGUGAGGUACGCUUUCCCUCUCAGGCGUCCUAUUUGCCAUGCAGAGCUAUUGCAUGCUGGGAGAGCGAAAUGUUCACAGACUGGGGCCUCUUUCUAAUGAUUUCCCACACCUGCACAUCUGCUGCCGUUUUAAUUAAUACUCUAAGGAGGUUUGUCGCGAGU
Molecule: long non-coding RNA, 5884 nt
Organism: Megalobrama amblycephala (Wuchang bream)
Lineage: Eukaryota; Metazoa; Chordata; Actinopteri; Cypriniformes; Xenocyprididae
Exons: 3
Source: RefSeq, a predicted model, not a curated record